Molecule: long non-coding RNA, 1329 nt
Organism: Cyprinus carpio (common carp)
Lineage: Eukaryota; Metazoa; Chordata; Actinopteri; Cypriniformes; Cyprinidae
Source: Ensembl
UUAUAUAAACAUUUUUAAAACAAUACAAUUUGUCAGUUAAUCAGCUACCUAGCCAAUCAAAGCGAGUAGUUGGGUCCGGAAAAUAAGUAAUUAUUUUAUACAAUUUUACAUAAUAGAAGUAUUUAUAUGUACAUACAUCUAAAACAGGGAUGGGCAACUGGCGGCCCGCAAUUUCUAAAAUUACUAAAUCCAACCAGGAGAGGUCGCUAGUUUCCAGCCGAAACAAGUAGCAGUAGUAGAAGCAAAGUCCUUGUAAGGUGUUCUAUAGAAAAAAAUAAAUAAAAAGCAAGAAAAAUUUCCAGUGUAAUUCUUGUUUUUCAGUAAAGAUGGUAAACGGAUCAUCUUUUUACAAAGUUCAGGGACACUUAUACUGUAUAUGUUUGUUUUUUUUGGAAACGAAAGGAAAGAUUUUAAUGUAAAUUGUAAGAUUUUAAUUAAGAUCUUAAUGUAAAUUACACACCUGCUCACAAAGAGAAGCAAGAAAGAGGUGCACUUGUAUUAGUUUUACUAGUAUAAAACCGUGGUUAAUUUUCGUAAGGGGUCGUCAACAAAGCCUUUUUGCCAAAUGCAUAUAUGUUCUUAAAUAUAUUUUUAUUCAUGGUAAUAUGAAGGAUUAUUGUAAUACAAUUUCUAAUAACUAUUUUUUUAAUAAGCCCUUUUAACUGUUCUCUGAGGUUGUGUUGAGAAUGUUUUGUUGGCCAGUAAUCUAAAAUAGGACCUCUGUAGUCUGUAAUUUUGUUUGUUACACAUUUAAAUAAUAAAUACCUAAUAAUAAAACCUUUAAAAACUAAUUACAUACAUUGAUUUCCCUUAAUAAAAAGGAAAUUAAGUACUAGUGAUGGCCCUGACCUUGCCCCUUGGUAUGAAGGAGAAGACAUGCUGGUCCUUGUCACUCUUGAAGUAAAAGAUCAGUAAAAGUACUCCCCACUUUCCGCAAACUACAGACUGCUCAGUGAAUCUUUUCACCACUGGUAGUAUGCUAACAUCAUUAUUGUAUUAUAACGUCUUUCAGAACAGAAAUAUGGAAAGGUUGAAGGUGUAUGAAACUCUCAGACAACAAAUGGAUAAUGAUGAGAUUACUCAAAAGGGCUUUGAUGCCAGAGUAAAGGAUUUAUUGCUUAAAUGUGGUGCAGAAGGAACAUCAGGUAUUCUGUUUUUUAUCUUAACAGAUUGGCAAGACUUAUAUUCAUUUAAUUAAUUUUCUUCUAUAUACUUUGUUUUUCAACAAAUAAUUGUUAGAAAACUUUUAAUAUUUUUUCACUUUUAAAAAAAUGAUCAAUUGAUACAUCUUUGGUGAUUACUUUGAAUAAAAGACCAAGACGAUAAACA